AGGAUUGAUUUUGCGAUAAGAAUACAAUUCUGGAGCACGUUCAGCCGUCGUAGUAGCGGAUGGUCUUGUUUUUCCUUCAGUUCCCUGCUGCGCUGCUUCAACUUCUACAGAAAGAGUGAAACGCUGUGAUGAAAGUAGUUGAAGCGCGUAAUUGAAGAUGGUGUCGUCGUGCAGAACUGAAUACGCUUUGCACAGGCAGGAAUUCGAUGUUUCUAGCACUCAGUUUUUAACCAGUUCCUGGAACAAUCAGGUUUUAAAAUUCUGUAUCUUGAACCAGCGAGGGAGAGAAUUUGUGUAACUUUGUGCUGGUGGUACCUAGAGAAAAACACCAAAACGGACGAGAACACGUGAAGUUCCACGUCUGUUUUGUAGCAAUAACAGCUUUUUCUCCCCGUUUUUCAGGGCAGGCUCUUUGCUUUGUUUCUUCCGGUUUGCUGGUUGUUGCUCAGGUUCUUAGGUUGUUUCCACUUAGAGGAGGAGGAGCAAAUAUGUUCUGAUUUUUUCUCUUGAAAGAUGAGUGGGAUCUGGAUAUGAUGAGAGGGAUCUGGAUAGACUGGAAAAAUGGGCCGAUUCCAAUGGGAUGAAGUUCAACAAGGCCAAGUGCCGGGUGCUGCACUUUGGCCACAACAACCCCCUGCAGCGCUCCAGGCUGGGCACAGAGUGGCUGGAGAGCAGUCAGGCAGAAAGGGACCUGGGGGUACUAAUGGACAGGAAGCUCAACAUGAGCCAACAGUGUGCCCAGGUGGCCAAGAAGGCCAAUGGUGUCCUGUCCUGUAUCCAAACUGGCGUGGUCAGCAGGACAAGGGCAGUGAUCCUUCCCCUGUGCUCUGCAUUGGGGAGGCCACACCUGGAGUGUUGUGUUCAGUUCUGGGCCCCUCAGCUCAGGAAAGAGAUUGAAGUGCUGGAGCGGGUCCAGAGAAGAGCAACAAGACUGGGGAAGGGACUGGAACACAAGCCCUAUGGGGAGAGGCUGAGGGAGCUGGGCUUGUUCAGUCUGGAGAAGAGGAGGCUUAGAGCUGAGCUCAGCACUCUCUAGAACUACCUGAAGGGCAGUUCUGGCCAGGUGGGGAUUGGGCUCUUCUCCAGGCAGUCAGCAAUAGGACAAGGGGCCAUGGGCUUCAACUCUGCCAGGGGAAAUUGAGGGUGGAGAUUAGAAAGUAAUUCUUUGCAGAGAGAGUGGUCAGGCAUUGGAAUGGCUGCCCAGGGAGGUGCUGGACUCACCGGCCCUGGAGGGUUUUAAACUGAGAUUGGCCAUGGCACUUAGUGCCAUGAUCUAGUAAACGGACUGGAGUUGGACCAAGGGUUGGACUGGAUGAUCUCUGAGGUCUUUUCCAACCCAGUUGAUUCUGUGACUGGUUAUUUUUGACAAAAUCAGGAGCUUUUGGCUACAAUGUCAAUGCAUCAGCACUUCAGCUCCGAUUUCUUUAAAGGAACGUACAUGUCCUGACUAAUAUGGCUGUGGGGAAUUGCAUUGAACUAAAGUAGCCCUAAUUUUUUAGUCUUGAAACUAGUUUUUAUCCUGCUACAUGAAGUUAAACUAACCCGGGGAAUCUCCAGGUAAGGAAGAGGCAAAUGAUUUACCUGUGUUUUUAGAACUUGCCCUCAAAAUUAUUCCCUGGGUAACCACUCGCUGAAGUUUGUUGGCAGGGCUGUAGCAAUGGCACCUUUCAAAUGUUGGGUUAUAUGUGGGAGGCAAAACGUUUUUUCUCCUCCAAGUAAUCACAGAAUCAUUUUGAUUGGAAGAGACCCUGAGGGUCACAGAGUCCAACCACAACCCAACUCCAGCACUAAACCUUGUCCCUUAGAACUGGCACUAAAAACUAAUCCAGUUCAGUCAAUUUGUACAGUCUCUAUGCACAGAUCUGUUUUUUCCAGACGCGCUUGUUAGCUAAUAAUAAGGUGUGCUUAAUAGCUAAUUUUGCAAUUAAUUUCUCCAUUUUAUGCAAAUAAAGAUCUAUUGUUCCUCAUAUCUACAAAGCAUUAAAACAUGAUGUUCCUUGUAAACUUUAAAUAUUUCGCAAAAUGUGUCAUUUCCCAUAGAAAGUAAACGUGCCCUUUUUUCCUCCCCUUGUUGCUUGGCUGGCUCUUGGCUGUAGAGUUUUCACCCUUUAUAAACGCCUUCAGCUGCGCGCCGUGUUCAGAACGGGGCUCAGCACAGCAUGUGAAGUCUAAAGGUCGUAAAUUGAAUGUGCUUCACUGGGCCCAAGUAGCUUUGAGUCCCUCAAAGUGUUUUUUCUAGGGCGAUGGAAGAAGAACAACGCGCUUGUCCCCUCUGAGCCGCUGUGACGAGUUCCAGCGCCCCCUCAACCAAGAAAUAGUAAUAAUGGAUUUGAAAAUUAAAUUGGAAUGUAAGCGAUAAGCUAAAAGUCAGUGCUGCUCUGUUCUAGCAGAGUUUGGAGUGGUGGGAGUUGCCAGCUCAGAGGCAACACUUGGAGUGUUUAGUCCUUUAACUUUACUAAUUUUCACUUACUUGAACCUUUUACGUGAAUUAAGAGUGUUUAAUGAUAUAAAAGCCAUAAAUUAGAGUGCUUGAGGUACGAUAACCGCCCAGAGGAGGACAGUGACCUUGGCAUCCCCCACUCUUGCUGAGACUGUUAUUCCUCCUCCCGCGCGUCCAUCUAGUGCGACGUGGGCUUGGAGGGGUUCUCAAGAAACUCUUGGUUUGUGAUUGAGCCCUGUCCGGAAUCUUCAGAGCCCCUGCCUGUUAAAAUACACAUACGAAAGUGAGGAAAACCGUCCUUCGUAUGAAUGUGCUGCUCAGGUUGCGGAGGUUCAUCCACACCUGGUGCAGCCAACGACCUGUUCGUCUGAAGACAUUUUAACAGCAAACGUUGCAGUUUUUACUAAGUUUAGGAGGUGGGCUGCUUUUUUUUUCACUUUUUCCUCUGUUUUUCUUGUCCAGAACUCUUCAUGUGAUCAGCAGUUGGGAUGAGGAGGAACUUCUUCCAAACUGUGAUCCCUGUCAUCUUAUGUCGAUGGGUGUCUAACGAACGGCGUAGGUGGGUGUCUAACGAACGACGUAGGUGGGUGUCUAACGAACGACGUAGGUGGGUGUCUAACGAACGAUGUAGGUGGGUGUCUAACGAACGGCGUAGGUGGGUGUCUAACGAACGACGUAGGUGGGUGUCUAACGAACGGCGUAGGUGGGUGUCUAACGAACGGCGUAGGUGGGUGUCUAACGAACGGCGUAGGUGGGUGUCUAACGAACGACGUAGGUGGGUGUCUAACGAACGACGUAGGUGGGUGUCUAAUGAACGAUGUAGGUGGGUGUCUAACGAACGAACGGCAUAGGUGGGUGUCUAACGAACGGCGUAGGUGGGUGUCUAACGAACAACGUAGGUGGGUGUCUAACGAACAACGUAGGUGGGUGUCUAACAAACGAACGGCGUAGGUGCGUGUCUAAUGAACGACGUAGGUGGGUGUCUAACGAACGGCGUAGGUGGGUGUCUAGUGACGUAGGUGGGUGUCUAGUGACGUAGGUGGGUGUCUAAUGAUGUAGAUCAGUGUCUAAUGACGUAGGUGGGUAUCUAAUGAUAUCAAUCGGUAUCUAAUGAUGUAGAUCAGUAUCUAACGAUGUCAGUGGGUAUCUAGUGAUGUCGGUGGUUAUCUAAUGGUGUAGAUCGGUAUCCAAUGAUGCAGUUUUACAGGUGUCUGAGUUUCAGUGCCCCGUCAAUACAAGGAGUCCUUUCGAACACAGGUGUUUCUUCUGUAAUCUGCAUUGGGGAAGCAUCUAACAUAACACCAACGCUUCUGUUUUCUGGCCUGGCCUCAGGGCAGGUGAGAAUGAUGGUUGUGGAAGGGCUGGAAAGCUGCUUUUGGUGCUGUUGGGUGCAGUAGGUGAAUGACCCAUACAACCUGUUUUGGAAGAAAAAUCCUGGAUGGUGGUAAAAAUUUCCAAAAGAAUUUUGCGGGGCCAAAGGUCCACAUACGGUAACAUCAAAGUUGCAUUAAAUCUGAUGUAGUCAAGCAAUCAGUCUUCUGUGUUCUUAGGUUAUAGAUUUCUCUAAAAUCAACUAAUUUGCUGAAAAAAAUGAGGACAAAGCAGUGGUAUUUGGGUGGGAGAGGAAAGUCCGAUAAAGUUGCUUCUUGUUUCUUAAGGAAGUAGCAUCUGCUUCCUCCCUUUUUGAAUUUUGUUUUUAGGAGAAUGAUUGUAAUGGACUGUAUCUUUCUAUUUUAAUCUCUUCUUUUAAUCUCUAUAACUAUAUAUGUUUCAGGUUAAGGUCCUACAAGCUGGAAAUGCAAAGAAGUUGCAUGUUUCGUAUCUCUUGAACCGUCAUGUGUUCCCUACAAAGCUUCCAAUAACGAGUAAAUGAAUGCAGGACAGACCACGAGGAUGGAUUUUUAACUGUUUUUCUAUAUAAAAAUGCAUAUUUUAGAUACUGAGCUGGAUCCAGCAAUAGACGCUGUGAGCUUUGCUCUUCAUGUAAGAGGCAUAUGGGGGCUACAUAAUUCACCUUUGCUCUCUCUUGGCAGUUACUGUGUUGGUAGGUGAAAAUGAUUUGUUUUUGUCAAUUAAUUGUUUAAAUAAAAUAUUUUAGAAAAGAUAGUUGAUCAUAAUUUGAAGUUGUUGGAACUUGAUCAGAAAUUGACGUUGAUUGAACUUGAUCAGAAAUUAAGCUCCACAAAAGUUAAAACUCAUUUAUACCAAAUGUGUGCAAGCGCUUGAUCUCUUUUAUCGACUAAUAAUGUUUUGGCUUCCGUCCUCAUCUCGUCGCUCGUAAUGCCUGAAGAAUGUUCAUGAUGAACUGAGCUGGCUGGUGAGUUAUUUGUCUUCACUUUUUAAGUCAAGCUUGGUUGUAGCCCAGCGCUUUGUGAACACGAGUGUCUCAGGCAAACCUGUGGUUGGAAUUAUUUACAGUUACUUCUUAGAGUUUUGUACAAAAAUUUCAGUUGUAUCCCGAUUUAGGAAAUUGUAGCGUUCCCGUGAAUGGCUCUUCCAUGGCCCUUUCGCAGCCCACAUUGGCGAGAAAAAACAAACCAAAAAACCCACAGACCACAGACACACACAAAACCAAAUGAAAAAACAACCAACCAAACAAAAAGUAAUUAAAAAACCCAAAAAUCACCCACAACAACAAAACCCCAAAACCCCAAGCCAGCCACCCCAGACCCAACAGACAGGGAAAUGAGACAGAAAGAUAACAGGACUCUACUUUCUUUUUAAUAUCUAUUUGUUUCAAUAUUUUCCCUUUCUAGGUUUCCUGGGCUCUGUCUCUGUCCCUCUCAGCGUGGAACGGGAUGAUAUUUCACUUUUUCGUGGCUUUCUGUGCUUUUGAAUGGAAUCAUUCAGGAAGCCGGACCUCAGCUUUCAGUGGAGGUGAGGUGAGGAAGCAGUUGUGUAACCGCCCAUUUUAUUUGCCUGAAAACACCUUUUUGGGUGUUAUCCCCGUGCUGAGGUACCUGCUGCUUUGCAAGGUUCAUAUUUGUGAGACUCAGCAAUACCACGAGAAAGGAGCAGGAUGAGAAUCAAUUGUUGAUUUAGAUGCGUAUUACACUUCUCAUGACCCAAGAGUUGAGUUAGGUCUGGAGUUCAGCUUAGUUUGAGGGAGCUUUAGAGCUUUAUACCCACUCACAGAUGGCAGAAACUUGUCAACCACUGUUAUUUCUUCGAACAGGUAAUUUAAAGUGAGAGUUUUUCUUCUAGAUCCCUUGAUUUCUGGUCUCCGACCUGUGCUGGAUCAUCAGCCUGGCUUGACCUUAUCUCUUAGUGCCGCAGCCUGGGAGAGUGAUUUAGAAAAUCUUGAGGAUGAGCCUUGUUUUCACUGUUAUUAAAACUGCACGUGCAAUCUGUACUUCUGCAGUAAAUGUAAAGCGUACCGUGGAUUAAAUGUCUUCUACAAGAACCCCGGCAGGUGAUCCGAGCGGCGACUCAGUGCGGCGGCAGCUCCAGGUGGGUGCGUUGUGUGUGUUCCAGUCUUCCCCCUUGUUCUGUGCAGCGGACGGGAAGCUGCACGUGCCUCGUUGUAACUCGUUCCCUACUCGGUCCUCUUGUAACGUCCAGUUUUUCUAAUAAACAUCUCUUGAAGUCA
This is a long non-coding RNA of Columba livia (rock pigeon), 6029 nucleotides long. RefSeq lists it as uncharacterized. NCBI's taxonomy places the organism in Eukaryota, Metazoa, Chordata, Aves, Columbiformes, Columbidae. The record is from RefSeq and is a predicted model, not a curated record. The transcript is spliced from 2 exons.